CGCUACGGACUUAAAAUCCGUUGGCUUAAGUGACCGUGAGGGUUCAAGUCCCUCUUCCCCCA
RNAcentral lists this transfer RNA (62 nucleotides) under Physcomitrium pyriforme. RNAcentral describes it as "partial tRNA-Leu". It matches the Rfam family "tRNA", at positions 22 to 71 of the family's 71-position model. From Rfam's summary of the family: Transfer RNA (tRNA) molecules are approximately 80 nucleotides in length. The record is from RNAcentral. Lineage: Eukaryota; Viridiplantae; Streptophyta; Bryopsida; Funariales; Funariaceae.